RNAcentral lists this ribosomal RNA (496 nucleotides) under uncultured bacterium. Its description in RNAcentral is "partial 16S ribosomal RNA". It matches the Rfam family "Bacterial small subunit ribosomal RNA", at positions 28 to 506 of the family's 1533-position model. The record is from RNAcentral.
GAUGAACGCUGGCGGCGUGCCUAAUACAUGCAAGUCGAGCGAACAGACGAGGAGCUUGCUCCUCUGAUGUUAGCGGCGGACGGGUGAGUAACACGUGGAUAACCUACCUAUAAGACUGGGAUAACUUCGGGAAACCGGAGCUAAUACCGGAUAACAUGUUGAACCGCAUGGUUCAACAGUGAAAGACGGUCUUGCUGUCACUUAUAGAUGGAUCCGCGCCGCAUUAGCUAGUUGGUAAGGUAACGGCUUACCAAGGCAACGAUGCGUAGCCGACCUGAGAGGGUGAUCGGCCACACUGGAACUGAGACACGGUCCAGACUCCUACGGGAGGCAGCAGUAGGGAAUCUUCCGCAAUGGGCGAAAGCCUGACGGAGCAACGCCGCGUGAGUGAAGAAGGUCUUCGGAUCGUAAAACUCUGUUAUUAGGGAAGAACAAAUGUGUAAGUAACUAUGCACGUCUUGACGGGACCUAAUCAGAAAGCCACGGCUAACUACGU